AUUUGCGGGAUAAGGGUGAAAACGUGAGGUAAGAGCUCACGGCGUACGCAGCGAUGUGUGCGCGGGUAAACCUCAGGAGUUGAAAGACCAAAUAAGUCAGGGUAUGUCGCAAGACAAGAAGAGCGGCUCGCUCAAAUCCCUGGCGGGUAGGUCGAUGGAGGUGACACGCGAGUGUUAUCCCAGAUAAAUGAUAGAAACCCUGGUGUUUCAUCAGGGUACAGAACCCGGCUUACAAACCAAUGAUGUGC
This 248-nucleotide RNase P RNA is filed under the name Bacteroidia bacterium. RNAcentral describes it as "partial RNase P RNA component class A". It matches the Rfam family "Bacterial RNase P class A", at positions 139 to 367 of the family's 367-position model. From Rfam's summary of the family: Ribonuclease P (RNase P) is a ubiquitous endoribonuclease, found in archaea, bacteria and eukarya as well as chloroplasts and mitochondria. Its best characterised activity is the generation of mature 5'-ends of tRNAs by cleaving the 5'-leader elements of precursor-tRNAs. Lineage: Bacteria; Pseudomonadati; Bacteroidota; Bacteroidia. The record is from RNAcentral.